AUUGAACGCUGGCGGCAGGCCUAACACAUGCAAGUCGAGCGGAUGAAGGGAGCUUGCUCCUGGAUUCAGCGGCGGACGGGUGAGUAAUGCCUAGGAAUCUGCCUGGUAGUGGGGGAUAACGUCCGGAAACGGGCGCUAAUACCGCAUACGUCCUGAGGGAGAAAGUGGGGGAUCUUCGGACCUCACGCUAUCAGAUGAGCCUAGGUCGGAUUAGCUAGUUAGUGGGGUAAAGGCCUACCAAGGCGACGAUCCGUAACUGGUCUGAGAGGAUGAUCAGUCACACUGGAACUGAGACACGGUCCAGACUCCUACGGGAGGCAGCAGUGGGGAAUAUUGGACAAUGGGCGAAAGCCUGAUCCAGCCAUGCCGCGUGUGUGAAGAAGGUCUUCGGACUGUAAAGCACUUUAAGUUGGGAGGAAGGGCAGUAAGUUAAUACCUUGCUGUUUUGACGUUACCAACAGAAUAAGCACCGGCUAACUUCGUG
This 484-nucleotide ribosomal RNA is filed under the name uncultured bacterium. Its description in RNAcentral is "partial 16S ribosomal RNA". It matches the Rfam family "Bacterial small subunit ribosomal RNA", at positions 30 to 507 of the family's 1533-position model. The record is from RNAcentral.